ACGUAGGGGGCAAGCGUUAUCCGGAAUUACUGGGCGUAAAGGGUGCGUAGGUGGUUUUUUAAGUCAGAGGUGAAAGGCUACAGCUCAACUGUAGUAAGCCUUGCGAACUGGAAGACUUGAGUGCAGGAGAGGAAAGUGGAAUUCCUAGUGUAGCGGUGAAAUGCGUAGAUAUUAGGAGGAACACCAGUGGCGAAGGCGACUUUCUGGACUGUAACUGACACUGAGGCACGAAAGCGUGGGGAGCAAACAG
This 250-nucleotide ribosomal RNA is filed under the name uncultured prokaryote. RNAcentral's name for it is "partial 16S rRNA". It matches the Rfam family "Bacterial small subunit ribosomal RNA", at positions 525 to 775 of the family's 1533-position model. The record is from RNAcentral.